Molecule: long non-coding RNA, 1028 nt
Organism: Chenopodium quinoa (quinoa)
Lineage: Eukaryota; Viridiplantae; Streptophyta; Magnoliopsida; Caryophyllales; Amaranthaceae
Exons: 2
Source: RefSeq, a predicted model, not a curated record
CCGCACGUUCCUUUAAAUUGCUACACACUAGUAGAAAAAAGUAAAAAGGCAUCGCUCAAUUGCCACCAGUUUUUAAGAACCGGUGGCAAAAAACAGGGGAAAAAUGGGCGGGGACAUUUUUGCCACCGGUUCAAACCGAACCGGUGGCAAAAAUAUUAUUCCCACCGGUUCAAAACCGGUGGCUUACUAAUAAAAAAAAAAAAAAAUCUGGCCCUUAAAACACCCCAAACCCUACAAUUUCACCCACCAUCAGCCGUUUCACACCCACCUCCCCUCAUUCUCUCUCUCUCCUCGAUCAGUUUUCACACCCACCUCCCCUCAUUCUCUUUCUCUCUCCUCGUUCAGCUCAGAUCCCCUCUCCCCUCUUCUCCUUCAUCCUCUCCUCCUUAUCUUUCUAUCUCCUCUCUCCCCUCUCCUCCUUCUCUUUCUCAUCUUCUUUGAUCUACACCACCACCUCGAAGAACACCACCGCAACAAUAACACCACGAAUACAUGCAUGAGCAACAACGACUUAAUCGAGGUAUAUUGAUUUAGAUCUUAAAUCGAAGAAUCAUGAUGCAGGAAUAUUGUUUUUGAUGUUGUAUGAGGUUUUUUUGAUUUUGAAUCUGUAACAUUUUUUUAUUUAUAUUGUAAUUUUUUUUUAUUUAUAUGUUGUAAUUGAUCAAUUUUAUUGAUUUAUAUUGUAAAUAAAAUUUCGAUUAUAUAGAUUGAUAUUUUUUGAUUUAUAUUUUGAUGUUUGUAAUUUUUUUUACUGAAUUGUUUUGUUAUAUAUCUUUUUGAAAAAGACAAAAAAAAAAAAGGUAUACAUGUUAUUGCCACCGGUUAACCGGUGGCAAUACCUCUUUUUGCCACCGGUUUUGAACCGAUGGCCUUGCUUCGGAGUAUUUCCACCCCCCAAAUGACCACCGGUUCAAAACCGGUGGCAUUGGGGGGUUUUGAACCGGUGGCCAAUUCAUAUUUUCGCCUAGUGACAUCAUGAAUAAACUGUUAGUAACUUCAAUAAAAAAUGUUGCCAAAAAAAAAAAAAA